CCUACGGGUGGCAGCAGUGGGGAAUAUUGCACAAUGGGCGAAAGCCUGAUGCAGCAACGCCGCGUGAAGGAAGACGGUUUUCGGAUUUUUACAUUCUUUUCUUAGUGAAGAAUAAUGACGGUAACUAAGGAGCAAGCCACGGCUAACUACGUGCCAGCAGCCGCGGUAAUACGUAGGGGGCAGGCGUUGUCCGGAAUUACUGGGGGUAAAGGGAGCGUAGGCGGGAAGCCAAGUCCGUUGUGAAAACUACGGGCUUAAACUGUAGACUGCAGUUGAAACUGGAUUUCUUGAGUGAAGGAGAGGUUGGCGGAAUGCCGGGUGUAGCGGUGAAAUGCAUAGAUAUUCGGAGGAACACCGGUGGCGAAGGCAGCAAACUGGGCUUCAACUGACGCGGAGGCUCGAAAGUGUGGGGAGCAAACAGGAUUAGAUACCCCAGUAGUC
RNAcentral lists this ribosomal RNA (441 nucleotides) under uncultured bacterium. Its description in RNAcentral is "partial 16S ribosomal RNA". It matches the Rfam family "Bacterial small subunit ribosomal RNA", at positions 338 to 795 of the family's 1533-position model. The record is from RNAcentral.